GGAAACAAUAAAUAUUUUUUCCCUUCCCUAAAAAACAUCUCACAUCAUUCCAUCCAUAAAUACCAACCUAAAGACUUUUAUCACCCAAAUUUUAGUCCAUCACCCACAUAGAAAACAUCGAAAAGAUCUCUCCUCUAUCCAUCAAUUCAUGUUCUUCAUACACAUAUAAAACAUAAAAAAGGUAUGUCUUUAUCCCUCAAAUUCAUAGAUGCUUUAGAUAGAUUCAUAAGAAAUUAAUAGCGCCUCUCUUCUAUUUCAAUUGUAUAUUCUAAUAGUUGAUUUUCAAUUCAAAUGAUACAUAAUGCUUGUUUGUCAUCAGAUUCAUCCGCAGAAAGCAAAUUUUUGAGUGGUCAAAAUCAAGAAAUCGAGCAUGUUACUUCUUGUCUGGUACGUCCACUUUUUUUCUUUUCUUUUUUUUAGGUGUGUUUUGAGAUUAUUUUUUGGUAAAUUAUUUAAGAUUUCUCUGUGUUGCAUAAUUUUCCCUUUUCAAAAAAUUGAUUAGGUUCUUCUCUAUUUUGGAAUAAAAUAAUAGAUUAAACUCUGUAAUUCCCAUAUAAGCCUAAUUUAAUGGGAAAUGUAACAUCUUUAGUCACCCACUGGAUUUUAAUUUAACAAAAAAUUGAUAUUUGAUGGUCAAUGAACAAAUUACAACGGAUUAAAAUUAUAGAAUUGCUAGAUUUCUUUAAAAUAUAAUAUAACUCUAUGCUUCUUUCUUCUUUUUAGACUAUUUUUGAUGCAUAACAUUUCGAUCGUAAUAUUAGGUCAAUAUUUAAGAAAAAAUGUGCUCAAGGACAAUUGAAAAUGAAAAAUCACAUUCUACCAAACACUAUAUGAUAAAUCACAUUAUUGUAAGACUUACUUUACCUAUAUUAGAUACUAAUUCAAAUUUACAUUAAAACUAAUUAAUUUGACUUUUUUACAUUUCUAAAUCCAGUAGCAUACUAAAUUAAAUCAAAGGAAACAUAAUCUUCUCUAUAUUUGGUCACACAAACAACACUUCCAUGGUUCUUCUCCUCCUCCUCCUCCUGCUAUAACAAUAUGUUUGAUAUUUAUAAAAAAUAUUUUUCGAAUAACUAAUUAAUUUGACUUUUGAACAUUUCUAAAUCCAGUAACAUGCUAAAUUGAAUCAAAGGAAACAUAAUCUUCUCUAUAUUUGGUCACACAAACAACACUUCCAUGUUCCUCCUCCUCCUCCUCCUUCUAUAACAAUAUGUUUGAUAUUUAUAUAAAAUAUUUUAUGAAUAUUUGUUGUGCUUGAAAAUAACGGGGAGAAAGUCAUAGUGGCGGAAGAUAUGUUUAGUGAAGAAGAGUUGCAUGAUAUAAGUGUGUACAAGAUGAUUAUUUCGAGGUUAUAUGUACCAACCUCAUUUUGGCAAUAUUAUUGUUAAACUUGAGAUUUUUACUUCUGAUGAACUCAAAUUUUCUGUGAAGAUUUAUCCAACAUAUUCAACAUUACACUUACCUUGUUUAGGUAGAAGAAUUAUUCGUGAUCUAUUCUAUGCUUGAGUAACCAUGUCAAACAUAAAUGAAAUCUUAUUUUAUUUUUGGAAAGUACAAAAAUAAAUUUCAUUGUAAGCACACAAUGGAAUCAACAAUGUAAAUUUAACACAAACAUAUAAAUGAAGGCACAAAAAACGAAGUAAAUUAAAUUGGCGAAUUAAGCUGCAAGUAUAACACCAAUUUUGCAUAAAAAGGAUUGGUGUAGCGCCAUAUAACCUGCAAGUGAUUAUCUCCUCUCUUCAACAUACUUGUCUCACGUACCUCUUCUUUGUUAAACAUAUCAACCAUUCACUUUGAUAAUAUGGACAACAGACAUGGAGUUCACAAGAGAUGAACUUACAGUACCUAUAUUGGUAAAACUACCUGGACUUGAUUUUAAAUAUUGGAGUUCAAAAAGGAUUAAAUAAAAUUGAUAGUCCAGUGGGAAAACCUUUAAUGAUGGACCAACACACAGAGAAGAAAGUUGGGUUAAACUUUGCAAGGCUGCUAAUUGAAGUAGAGAUGGAUGUGGAAAUAUGGUUCAGCAAGAGUGUUGUAUGAUUGGAAGCCUUCCUUGUGUAUACACUGCAAAAAGUACGGGCAUAAUGAAGGGGAAUGUCGGAAGAAGAAGGAUGCAAAUGUGAAUACAAGGGUGGGAUGAGGAAAAGAAGGGCAGGAAGUCCAAGUUCGAGACGCAGCAACAAGGGAGAAUGAAGUGGAAGGUUCAGCACAAAGGAAUACAUAAGGGGAAACAAAACAUGACUACUCUAAAUGGGAAGAUAACACCUGUCCAUACAAACCCAAGGAGGAAGACUCAUAGUUCAAACAUUUGCAACAAUUGGAGAUGAGCCAUGAAUUUCAAAAUAUUUUUGGCAAAUAUUACUUAGACUGAAAAUGUGGGUGAAAUUUCACCAUGUGUUUGAUCAUAAAUAUCUAUAUAUUUUUUAGAAAAAUAUGAUUUAUAUCUAUAUGUUUUAAAAACUAUCAAAAUUAACCAUAAGUUUAUAUUACAAGUCAAUUGGAUAUUCAUUGCAACAAAUAAUGAGUGUCAAUGACACUAGAGCAAUGUGGUAGCUUGAAGUGAGUCCAACAAACAUCAUUCCAUAUAUCAUGAAGUAGACAAAGCACAUGACUUUGUUACUCUGAGCCGAUUGUUCAUCUUUUUCAUCAACAACCAUAUCAUCAUUUUCAUAUUCACCGAAUAUUUCAUGACUACUUUGAUAUUCACAUAAAAAAUUAUACAAUGCAACGCAAACACUAAUAUAGAGGGUGUUUUUGUAAAAGAUAAGAUUUGGAGUAAAAUUUAAAUUUUCAAAAACAUCCCAAAUAAUGAGAUUAGACCCAAAUACUAGAAAAAACUAGUAUUUGGGAAUUCGGUAUGUUUAUAAAAAAUAUUUGUUUAAAAAUGACAAAUUGUAUCGACAAAUAACACUAUUUGCCAAAUUUUCACCCAAACAAUAUUUGAGAAAAUUUUUGACAAAUAGUGUUUGUCCAUACAAUUUACCAAUUAUAUGACAAAUAUUUUUAGCAAAUAUCCCAAAUUCUCAAAUACUAGUUUUUUCUAGUAUUUGGGCCAAAUCUCAUCUAUUUGAGAUCUUUUGAAAAAUGAAAUUUUACUUCAAACUUUUAUCUUUUACAAAAAUACCCUCUAUAGUAGUUGCUUACGUUGAAUUAUAUAAUUUUUUACGUUAACAUCAAAGUAGUGAUGAAAUAUUCAGUGAAUAUUAAUGAUGGUAUGAUUGUUGAUGAAAAUGAUAAACAAUCGGUUCAUGAUAACAAAGUCAUGUUAUUUGUCUACUUCACGAUGUAUGGAAUGAUGCGUGUCGCACUCGCUCCAAAUCACCACAUUGCUCUAAUGUCACGAACACUAUUAAUUAUUAUUGGAAUGAAAAUCCAUUUGACUUUUAAUAAAAACUUAUGGUUAGUUUUGAUAAUUUUUACGACUUAAUGAGUAUAAAUAAUAUUCUUCUAAAAAGGUGAAAUGUAUUUCAAAAAAGCUUGGAGUAAAUUUUUUCAAAGAGGACAUUUGUUGAAACAGAUUAAUGCUACAAUGAUAUCUUUAAUUCCAGAAGUUCCUGUCCCCCAAAAUGCCAGCCAAUAAAGACCAAUAUCAUGUUGUCAUGUGCUUUAUAAGAUCAUCUCAAAGCUGAUAUGUUCAAGACUGAAAGAAGUAUUUGGAUGCUUGGAAGCUGAGAAUGAAGCCGCAUUUGUACUUUAAAAUAUCACUUAUCCAUGAAGAAAAUAAUUCUUACCUCAAAAUACUUUAUUUUACUGUAUUGUGUUAUAUCAAGAAAAUUGUACACUUCUUAUUGAUUACAAUACAUGCAAUUUUAUAGAGUUUAUUUUUAAAUGUUUAUUAUUUUAUCAACAGUGAUGAAAUCAUCAAUACAAGAUGAUGAAGCCAGCAAUUCAAGCUGGAAGCUGGAAGCUAAUCUCAUUCCUCCAUUAAUGGAGGUAGAGCUUCUGAUAGCAUGAAGGAAGAAGAUGGAAUUUUCUGUAUUGAAUGCAUAUGUAAAGCAUUACAUUAGAUGUGUAUAUAUACACAUCAAUGAGUAGUAACAAAUCACAAAAACAGAAAUACAAAACAUGUGAUCUAUAACUAACUACCCAUGUGAAUUAUAACUAACUAUAACUAACUACUUGAAAGUUGAGUUUGACUAACUAACUAACUAACAAAUUGAUAACUAACUCACACUAAACAAGCUAGUUUUAUCACCCCCCUCAAGUUGGAAGUGAGCCAUUCACAGACAACUUGUUCAUCAGAUGAGAAUGUUUAACACCAGUCAAUGCCUUAGUGAAAACAUCAGCCAGCUGGGAUUCUGUUGAGACAUAUUGGAGUGUAAUCAGUCCUUCUUGGAGCUUUGUCCUGACAAAAUGACAAUCAACUUCUAUGUGUUUGGUUCGUUCAUGAAACACUGGAUUCUUGGCAAUGUGCACUGCUGCUUGGCUAUCAC
RNAcentral lists this long non-coding RNA (4433 nucleotides) under Solanum lycopersicum (tomato). Its description in RNAcentral is "long non-coding RNA (SLYC_LNC001348)". The record is from RNAcentral. Lineage: Eukaryota; Viridiplantae; Streptophyta; Magnoliopsida; Solanales; Solanaceae.